Molecule: ribosomal RNA, 476 nt
Filed under: uncultured bacterium
Lineage: Bacteria
Description: partial 16S ribosomal RNA
Rfam family: Bacterial small subunit ribosomal RNA
Source: RNAcentral
GAUGAACGCUGGCGGCGUGCUUAACACAUGCAAGUCGAGCGAGUGAGUUCUUCGGAACAAUCUAGCGGCGGACGGGUGAGUAACACGUGAGCAACCUGCCUCAUAGAGGGGAAUAGCCUCCCGAAAGGGAGAUUAAUACCGCAUAAAAUUAUCGAGUGGCAUCACAUGAUAAUCAAAGGAGCAAUCCGUUAUGAGAUGGGCCCGCGGCGCAUUAGCUAGUUGGUGAGGUAACGGCUCACCAAGGCGACGAUGCGUAGCCGACCUGAGAGGGUGAUCGGCCACAUUGGGACUGAGACACGGCCCAGACUCCUACGGGAGGCAGCAGUGGGGAAUAUUGCACAAUGGGGGAAACCCUGAUGCAGCAACGCCGCGUGAGUGAUGAAGGUCUUCGGAUUGUAAAGCUCUGUCUUUGGGGACGAUAAUGACGGUACCCAAGGAGGAAGCCACGGCUAACUACGUGCCAGCAGCCGCGGUAA